AUUGAACGCUGGCGGCAGGCCUUACACAUGCAAGUCGAGCGAGCGGCGGACGGGUGAGAACUGUAUGGGGAUCUGCCUGGUGGCGGGGGAUGACUAAUGGAAACGGUUGCUGCUCACGCAUAACCCGAGAUGUACCCAUAUGGGAUUAGCUGGUCGGUGGGUGAACGGCUCACCAAGAUGACGAUCCCUAGCUGGGCUGGGAGGAUGCGCAGCCACCCUGGGACUGAGACACGGCCCAGACUCCUACGGGAGGCAGCAGUGGGGAAUGUUGCACAAUGGGCGCAAGCCUGAUGCAGCCAUGCCGCGUGUAUGAAGAAGGCCUUCGGGUUGUAAAGUACUUUCAGCCGGAAGGCGUUACCGGCAGAAUAAGCACCGGCUAACUCCGUGCCAGCAGCCGCGGUAAUUC
Molecule: ribosomal RNA, 406 nt
Filed under: uncultured bacterium
Lineage: Bacteria
Description: partial 16S ribosomal RNA
Rfam family: Bacterial small subunit ribosomal RNA
Source: RNAcentral